This 410-nucleotide long non-coding RNA is filed under the name Vigna radiata. RNAcentral's name for it is "long non-coding RNA (VRAD_LNC000077)". Lineage: Eukaryota; Viridiplantae; Streptophyta; Magnoliopsida; Fabales; Fabaceae. The record is from RNAcentral.
CCUUCGUUGCUGCUAUGACUAUUGUUGAAUAUUUUCAUACUAUCUUAUGCAUAAUCGUGUAUGAUACUUUGGAUCCUUCCCGUUCUCUAUCACUAUCCUCACUGACCCAUGCCCUGUUCCCUCUUCAUCCAUGUCCAAUGGAGUUAACAACCAAAAAAAACUAACUCAACCUCUUUGAGUCAUUCAUGACGCCACCACCAUUGUUUUCAUAACAUUUCUUUUGGCCACCAUGUAACUAUCACUCUUCCCCCUCCAUUCCCAAUGAGACCAACAACCAUUCCACCAUCGUCGUAUGACCUGCAACCAAAGCAAAGCCAAAAUUUGAACCAGCCCCUGAAACGUAGAAAGAUGAAAAAAACAGAGCCCCAAUCACUAUUCUAUUCUCCUCCACCCUAAACGCCUAACGCCCA